Molecule: ribosomal RNA, 212 nt
Filed under: uncultured bacterium
Lineage: Bacteria
Description: partial 16S ribosomal RNA
Rfam family: Bacterial small subunit ribosomal RNA
Source: RNAcentral
CUGGAACAACUGGAGGAAACUCCAGCUAAUGCCGGAUAAGACCACAGACCCCUCGGGGUCUGCGGCCAAAGAUGGCCUCUGCUUGCAAGCUAUCGCUGAGGGAUGGGCCUGCGGGUCAUUAGCUUGUUGGUGAGGUAACGGCUCACCAAGGCUAUGAUGACUAGCUGGUCUGAGAGGAUGACCAGCCACACUGGGACUGAGACACGGCCCAG